AUUAGAAUUGCGUUAGUUAUGUGUUUAUGUCACUGAGUUCUGCAAAAAUCUCUUUCCUCUUUAGCUUGAAAAUGAGUGAUUCAGAGGAUCCCGAGCUGGAGGAAGAGCUUCAGGCUGCUGACGAACUCCUUCAAGAUAUGCAGAAUGAUGCACAGAGUGAACCUCAGCCAAGACCAGUGCGCUGGAAAAAACGUGACAGACAGGGAGCUUUUAUUCCUCAAAGACCAUCAACCAGUCGAAGUACUAGUUGCAUGCCACGUGUGUCCAGAGAGCAGCAUCAAUGUCCACGUGAAGAACCUAGUUAUGUUGCCAGUGUCAACCCAACAAAAGGUACUUUACCUUCUUGUAUAUAUUGUGAUUUCUGUUUACUUUUAUAUUUGUUGUUAUAGUUGAGUUAUGCAGGGCUUUUGUGGAGUCCUAAGAAACAUACUGCCUAGAGUGUUUUUCAGAGUUUCUUCCUUUCUUUUUUUUUUUUCUGUUAGUGUAUGGAACUGAGGUGCUUCGUCAGGAGCUCCUUCAGUUGUUGGAGGAUGGAGAAGAGGACGCAGCCAUGACUUGUGAGACGUCGUCUGAGUCAGCUGCUACUCACUGGGCGAUCAGAAAUAUGGUGUCCUCGCAAAAGUGGAAAGAGGCCAGGCCUUGUCUUAUAGACAAUAUGUUAGCUACUCUGGAUCCACAGUCACACCGUGUGUGUCAGUGUGGCAAACAAGUAGUUGUGAGGUGUCUGGACUGCCUGCCUCUUCCAUUCCUUUGUGCUGACUGUGAUAUUGCAGUUCACACACGCUUUGUCCUGCACAGCAGAGAGGCAGUAACAGGAGGGUUUUUGCAGCCUUCAUCAGAGUUUCACAAGCCAAUAGUUCGGCUGUUGCCUGUGCAAAGGCCAGACCAUGUGUGUGACUGCCCAGCAGGUAACGUUGAGGUUUCACCCGGCGCAAUUGUGGCUCUUGUAACCAUAAAUGGCCGUUAUAACCUUGCACUGCCAGUGGUGAGCUGCACCAGCUGUGGCCUAAUGUGGUCCCCCUCAGUUAAGGACAUCCUGGGUAGUGGAUAUUGGCCUGGCACCUUAAAUUUCUGCACCCUGUUUUCAAUGGAUGUCUUUCAGUCUUUCUAUGACAUUAAGAAGGCUGCACCAGGGAUGUCACUUAAGGCAUUUGUCAAAAUGCUGGAUGAACGAACAGCCCAUUUUGGAAGGAAUGGCCGAAUAUCAGCUGAUGCCUUCAGUAAAAGUUUCUUGGAGUGGAGUGCUGUAAAGUUUGAGGUGGACAAGAUGUGCAAGGAGCCAUGCUUUAGCUGCCCUGCCUGCACUCCAGACAUGCUUGCCGUCUCAGUUGAUGGAAACCGCAAGCUUUAUCGCUUUCAGUCUAAUGCAAGGUACGUUAUGCAUUGUGUACAUAAGUCAAAUAUGGAUUUGUAGAAAAAUGUAUUUUAAUGUUUCUUUUCAAACAACUGUCACUGUGUUCGUUCAGCACUUCAGAGCAGGGGAACUUUGAAGGUGUCUUCAUUGAAAAAGAUGAGGAAGUUGCUGAGUUUGUGAAAUACAUCCAGAGACACACAAAUCAUGUAAGAUACACAUAUAUAUAUUAGUGCUGUUAGCGUUAAUCUUGUUAAAAUGACGUUAAUGCCGUAACCAUAUACGUGUGUGUGUGUGUGUGUGUGUGUGUGUGUGUGUGUGUGUGUGUGUAGACAUAUAUGGAUGGGUCGAUAUUUUUUUUAAUUUUUCUCUUGGUGUUGUCGUAAUACUAUUUACUUUACUUUAUCUUAAUGUGUACUUAAUUUUGUCACCAUGUGUAUUUAAAAAAAACAACAUGAUUUUUAUUUUGUGUUAUCAGUGCUGUCCUGGGGAGAUAUGAGGUCUUGUGUGACUCGAGGCUAAUUCAGCUAAUUGUUAUGCGUUUGUUUUAAAAAGUUUGUCCCUGAUAGGGCUUCAUCAUGUCAUGUCUUUUAUGUUAAAAUCUUUGAGUGUAUAGGUCCCGGGGAAAGGGUUGUGCGGAUCUUCAUCUUGGACUGCAGCAAAGGAGUCGUCCAAAAAGUCCACUGGGAAGUUGGAUGAGGAGGGCAUGGAAAUAGCUGUUUGUCGCCACGGAGUCCUCUUAGCUGCAUUGAACAUGUUUCGAGGGGAGAUCUUUGCUUACCCCCUUUUUCUCCAGAGGAAGUUGGCAGCUAGCAUCCCAGGACAUAUUACGUUCCUUUGCUCCGAUGUGGCCUGUAAAUAUUUCCCCUAUUUAACCAAGGUGGCUCAGCAGUGCCCUGAGCUGAGGAACCUCUUGUCAAUGCGUCCUUUUCUCUCCGUCAUGCAUGCAAAGGCUCACACUUGGAAAUGCGAGAUCAAAUGGGGAGGUGCGUUUCAGGAUGGGGCCGGUUCAACAGUUGGAGAAGAGGUGGAACAAGUAAACAGUUUCCUGUCUAGGGCGGCCAUCACAACGAAGUACAUGUCUAAAGCAGGGCGAACAGACAUGCUGACCCUCCUGGCUUUGGGGUGGAACAAAAGGAAAGUGGAACAACUGGGCCGCACUUUGAGCCAGUGAUAUCUAAAGGUCAUUUUUUCAACACCCAUUUUAAUGUGUGUGGUAAUGGGGGGGAAAACACCAGUACUCUUUUAAUGUCAAUAUGAAUGACAUUUAUGAAUGUAUUCUUAGAUCAUAAGGAUCCUUAGAGAACAAGUGGAGAGCCUGAAUGCGACCAGAAAUGAGCUGGGUGUGGAUGACGACACGCUGCAGCAAUGGGUGGCCGAUGUGCAGAAAUGGGCUGAAGAAAGUGAUCAAACUGAUGGCAGCCUUGGAGCGUUGCAGGCACGAAUAGAGGAGCUUGUCGUCAUCAUCAGAGUGCGAACACAAAGUCUUUACAGACAAAAUGAUAGCAACAAGAGGCGACACAGAAUUCGCAAGGUCAUCUUAGUUGAGAAGAAACGCUUGGCGGCUGCUGUUGACGACUACAACAAGCUCGCUGAACCAACAAAGCAAAUCGUAUCCAGUGAUGCCCUCAUGCAGACCGAUAUUUGGCCCUGGCAGAGCACAAGUGAACCUGCUGCUGACCUCCGGACAAAGAGAAAGGUCUUUGAGAAGGUGAUGGCUGUGAGGCGCCUGAGAGAGGAGGAGAUGAUCCUUUGCAGGGAGAUGCGGCAUCACUGGACAGUGUUGCGAAUGCGUUCUGUGGUGUUGGGGACAAUCUCCUCAGACUGUAAGCACUUUAUUUAUUUAUUAAUUUUUUGAUGAAUCGAUUGAAAAUAAGAGCAGAUGCUAAAGUCUUACUGGAUCUUUUACCUAUAUCUAGAUUGCUAGCUAACACUGCCUUCUCCCUUUUAAAAAAAUGUUUAAUUACAGCAUCCUAAUUCCUUGUGUUUAUGAGGUGAUGUUUUUUUGUUGUUUGUUUUUUUUACUUUUCUCAUAUUUAUUUGUUUUGUUCUUUUUACAGCCUCCUUUGUUGGCAUGUCGGAGGAUGCACAGAAGGGACUCUGUAGCCUGGUUUUAAAAAAACAAAGUGAACUGAAAGCUGAAAUGCUCAAAGUAAAGGACAUGUACAAGAGAAUCCUCAGCCACCAACCACUCCUGGAAAUGGACUCGGAGGAGGAGGAGGACAUUCCAGACGAUGCCACUGAGAGUGAUUUGAGCACUUCUGAUGAAGACUGAUUGUGUCAUCAUUGAUGUUAUGUUUGGUAAAAUAAAAAGUUAAUCACAUCUCUGUUCAAUGUGAUUUUUCAACAGACAUUUUACAUUUUGAGAAGAAAAAUGGAAUUUCCUUGGUGCAGUUGUUUACCCUGAAUCAUUAUUUCCCAUCUAAUUUAAUGACUAGUGUACAUGUUCA
This is a long non-coding RNA of Astatotilapia calliptera (eastern happy), 3801 nucleotides long. Lineage: Eukaryota; Metazoa; Chordata; Actinopteri; Cichliformes; Cichlidae. The record is from Ensembl.